GAUGAACGCUGGCGGCUUUCCUAAUACAUGCAAGUCGAGCGAACAGACGAGGAGCUUGCUCCUCUGACGUUAGCGGCGGACGGGUGAGUAACACGUGGAUAACCUACCUAUAAGACUGGGAUAACUUCGGGAAACCGGAGCUAAUACCGGAUAAUAUAUUGAACCGCAUGGUUCAAUAGUGAAAGACGGUUUUGCUGUCACUUAUAGAUGGAUCCGCGCCGCAUUAGCUAGUUGGUAAGGUAACGGCUUACCAAGGCAACGAUGCGUAGCCGACCUGAGAGGGUGAUCGGCCACACUGGAACUGAGACACGGUCCAGACUCCUACGGGAGGCAGCAGUAGGGAAUCUUCCGCAAUGGGCGAAAGCUUGACGGAGCAACGCCGCGUGAGUGAUGAAGGUCUUCGGAUCGUAAAACUCUGUUAUUAGGGAAGAACAAAUGUGUAAGUAACUAUGCACGUCUUGACGGUACCUAAUCAGAAAGCCACGGCUAACUACGUG
This 497-nucleotide ribosomal RNA is filed under the name uncultured bacterium. Its description in RNAcentral is "partial 16S ribosomal RNA". It matches the Rfam family "Bacterial small subunit ribosomal RNA", at positions 28 to 507 of the family's 1533-position model. The record is from RNAcentral.